GAUGAACGCUAGCGGCAGGCCUAAUACAUGCAAGCCGAACGGCAAGUUGAGUAGCAAUACUUGACCUAGAGUGGCGUAAGGGUGCGUAACACGUAUGCAAUCUACCCGCAACAGGAGGAUAGCUCUCCGAAAGGGGAAUUAAGCCUCCAUGGGAUCAUGGGGUGGCAUCACUCCAUGAUUAAACUACCAGGGGUUGUGGAUGGGCAUGCGCANGAUUAGUUAGUUGGCGGGGUAAC
RNAcentral lists this ribosomal RNA (236 nucleotides) under uncultured bacterium. RNAcentral describes it as "partial 16S ribosomal RNA". It matches the Rfam family "Bacterial small subunit ribosomal RNA", at positions 28 to 261 of the family's 1533-position model. The record is from RNAcentral.